This 1013-nucleotide long non-coding RNA is filed under the name Gossypium barbadense (sea-island cotton). RNAcentral describes it as "long non-coding RNA (GBAR_LNC020492)". Lineage: Eukaryota; Viridiplantae; Streptophyta; Magnoliopsida; Malvales; Malvaceae. The record is from RNAcentral.
CAGAGAAAACUUUGCCUCUCCCCUCUCCUCUUGCGCCGUUCAUCGCCUCAAAAUAAGGGCUCUCCGAAUCCCAUGCACGGUUCUGAUUGCGGCGGAGCGAGCUCGAGACCGGUCACCAGGUAAAUUUCCUUUCUCUAAACUUACCCCGUUUUUAAAUUUCUACACUAACAAUGAAAAAAAAAACAAAAGAGAAACAUGGAAAAACAAAGAAAGAUUUCAAAAAUCACCUUAUGAAACUAGGUUUUACACUAUUUUCUUUGAAUAUUUUCUUUUUCGCUUUUUUAUUCAAUCUCGUAUGUAUGUGUCCCCUUUACAGUAUUCCAAUGGCUCUUUUAUAGCCAGAUUUACAGAAAAAAUAAAACAAAAUAAAAAAAAUGAAAUUCCCUCAAAUCCCAUCUGUUAUCUGUUGCUGCUAGCUUUCGUCUGUAUUUGCAGGUAUUCGGCCAGCCUGGAACAACAGAGAGAGGCAUAUCCAUGUGAAGAAGAUGCACGCGCCUGAUGGUGUUGCACGCGCAAGGUCUGGGCCUGAGAGAUUUGGGUUUAGAAAAUUGGGUUUGGGGUCUAUUAGUUGAUUCAGAUUUAGGGUCUGUUUAGGUUUGGCUGAUUUUCGGCUAGUAAUCUGGGUUUAGGUUUAGUAUUUGGGUUAAGGACUGAAUUAGGCUUUGAAUCUGUAAAUGGACAUUUAUUUUUUGAAUUUUUGAUUUGAUUUUAAUAUUUAUAAAAACUAGGCUGUUAAUAGUGAAUAUUUUAAUUUAAUUUAUUUUCUGGUAUUUAUUAGGCCGGGCAAAAUGGGUUAUUACACUAAUCUUGGAUCCAACAUCCAACUUGUUGGGGUAUACAAGAAAAAGACAAUCAAGGGUGUUUCAGAUUUUCUUUUAUUCCUUAAUCCUCCACUAAAACCAUACGCGUGCUUUGCACCAAAAAGCCUCACUCUUUUUUCUGCAACUUUAUCCAAAAAAUAAUACUCAGUUUCCUCAACCCUUUCUUUAUCUGAUCUUUUACAUGAAAGUUUG